AUUUGACAUGCAUGGACCGCAUAUUGAAACGUGACUAAUAUUUGACUACUCAUUGUCAAAAUGCCUCCAAAAAAGGCAGUUCCUACUUCAAAAACGUGUAAAAAGGGAGCCGCAAAGCCGGUCUCUAAUAUAAAGUCAGUUUCGCCGACGAAAUCUCGCACGACAGGCAAGGGGACUUCAAAGGCUCCCCCGAACACGGGCCCGAAGGGAGCCAAACAUGCUGCAGCAGGAGUAUCGGGUAGCAAGGCUGGCGGGAAAACAAAAUCUGCCAAACCGCAGAAAGAAUGGAGCAAAGAAGAUGACCAGGCAAGAAUCAUACAAACAGCAGCAAGGAAGUAUCUUGCACGGAAGAGAGUGCAGAAGUUGAAGAAAGAUAAACAAGAUUAUGAAGAACUUAUGGUGAAAUUAGAGAAGGAGGCAUGGCUGCAAAUGGUUGAAAGGGAGCGAGAGGAAGAGGAAAAGGAGCGACAGAAAGAACAAGAGGAAAGAAAGAAAAAAGCUCAAGAAAUGAAGUGGAGAAAACGUUUGUUGGAGGCUGCGUUUGAUGGGGAUGAUGAGGAAAUCAAUUGUGUCUUGAAUGAGGCUUUAGCCAACGACAAGAAGCAAGAAAAUAUACCAGAAACAGUGCGAGAACUACACAUAAAGAAGCAUCAACUAAGCCUCUCUGAUUGCGAAGACGCGAACGGUAACACUCCACUUUCGGAGGCCUCAGCCGGAGGACACGCGAGUACCAUACAGCUGCUUCUUCACAAGGGAGUUGAGAUCAAUUCCAGAGGCCGUUAUGAGCGCACACCGCUGUGGAGAGCUGCCUUCGCCGGGCAUUUGCAGGCAGUCCAGUUGCUCUUGGAAAAUGGUGGUGAUCCUCGCCUUCAUGCUAGUGAUGGAACAUCUCCUGUCCAGGUAGCGGCAAUUGCAGUUGUGGAAGAAUUUCUAAAGGCCUGGGAUGUUCAACGUACAGACGAAUUAUUGAAAAAACUUGAAGAAAAUAAAGAACAAAAACUUGAGGAGGAACAGGCGCAACAAAAGCAAGAAUGUGACAGGUUAGAAAAGAAAUUACAUGAAGCUGAGAAAGAGGACAAAGCUUGUCAAAUGAGACUGGAGAAAGCACAUUGCGAGCUGAACAAGAGGAUAUUUGAACAUGACAAAUGCGUUGCUAUGGGAGAUGAGAAGAAAAUAAAGAUUACUUUGCAGACUGUUCAUGAUGCCGAGCUGGAGUUGGAAACAGCAAAACAAAACAGCAAGGUAGCACGUGAUAAACUCGCGCAGUUGAAAUUGAGAUUGAGAGAGCAAAGAAAAGAAGGAGUCGGUAAUACCGGCGGCGAAGAUGCAAGUGAACUAGUAGGGAUAAAGGUGUCUAUAAAGGAGCUUGAUGAUGUCCUGAUGAGGGACGUUGGUGGUAAAAUUGCUCAAAGUGGCAGAUGGCCUCUUCUUAUCGAUUCUUCAACUCAAACUUCUACGUUUCUGCGUUAUCGUGAUACAAACUUUCUCAACGCCCUGAAUCCAAGCAAUAUGGAACCGGAUGUCAUACGGCUUGCUAUUCUGGGAGCUGUACGGUGAGAUGAUCGUUCGAGUUAGAUGUGGACAUUUCUGUUUUAGGUCUUCUAACGCGAUCUGCAUGCGUUUCGUUCAAAGAGAAUUGUUUAUCUAGGCUCUCCGAUGUUCAAGUACACUAUAUUCAAGGCAUUUUUCUCGUUGGUUUUCGCAUAAAAAAUUAAAAGCUUUUCGUUUUACGCACUACUCUCUAUUUUAGUUUCGGGAAACCACUGGUGCUGGACAUGAUGGCAGUUGAUAUGUUCGAAAGUGUCAAAAUAAAGUUCGACGUCGUUCAAGAGGGCCUGCU
RNAcentral lists this unclassified non-coding RNA (1840 nucleotides) under Dendronephthya gigantea. RNAcentral describes it as "putative IQ motif and ankyrin repeat domain- containing protein, transcript variant X2". The record is from RNAcentral. Lineage: Eukaryota; Metazoa; Cnidaria; Anthozoa; Malacalcyonacea; Nephtheidae.